RNAcentral lists this ribosomal RNA (253 nucleotides) under uncultured bacterium. RNAcentral describes it as "partial 16S ribosomal RNA". It matches the Rfam family "Bacterial small subunit ribosomal RNA", at positions 524 to 776 of the family's 1533-position model. The record is from RNAcentral.
UACGAAGGGGGCUAGCGUUGCUCGGAAUCACUGGGCGUAAAGGGUGCGUAGGCGGGUCUUUAAGUCAGGGGUGAAAUCCUGGAGCUCAACUCCAGAACUGCCUUUGAUACUGAGGAUCUUGAGUUCGGGAGAGGUGAGUGGAACUGCGAGUGUAGAGGUGAAAUUCGUAGAUAUUCGCAAGAACACCAGUGGCGAAGGCGGCUCUCUGGACCGUAACUGACGCUGAGGCGCGAAAGCGUGGGGAGCAAACAGG